RNAcentral lists this ribosomal RNA (447 nucleotides) under uncultured bacterium. Its description in RNAcentral is "bacterial SSU rRNA". It matches the Rfam family "Bacterial small subunit ribosomal RNA", at positions 329 to 792 of the family's 1533-position model. The record is from RNAcentral.
UACCAGACUCCUACGGGAGGCAGCAGUGGGGAAUAUUGCACAAUGGGGGAAACCCUGAUGCAGCGACGCCGCGUGAGUGAAGAAGUAUUUCGGUAUGUAAAGCUCUAUCAGCAGGGAAGAUAAUGACGGUACCUGACUAAGAAGCCCCGGCUAACUACGUGCCAGCAGCCGCGGUAAUACGUAGGGGGCAGGCGUUAUCCGGAUUUACUGGGUGUAAAGGGUGCGUAGGUGGCAUGGCAAGUCAGAAGUGAAAGCCCGGGGCUCAACCCCGCGGACUGCUUUUGAAACUGUCAGGCUGGAGUACAGGAGAGGUAAGCGGAAUUCCUAGUGUAGCGGUGAAAUGCGUAGAUAUUAGGAGGAACACCAGUGGCGAAGGCGGCUUACUGGACUGUAACUGACACUGAGGCACGAAAGCGUGGGGAGCAAACAGGAUUAGAUACCCGUGUA